UGCCGGCGUCACGGGGGAAGCCGGUGGAAUUCCGGCGCUGUCGCGCAACGGUAAAAGCCCGAAUGCCCGCCCGGAA
This 76-nucleotide non-coding RNA is filed under the name Rhodothermus marinus. RNAcentral also lists the same sequence under 1 other name. The record is from RNAcentral. Lineage: Bacteria; Pseudomonadati; Rhodothermota; Rhodothermia; Rhodothermales; Rhodothermaceae.